Long non-coding RNA from Pelobates fuscus (common spadefoot toad), 2028 nucleotides. RefSeq lists it as uncharacterized. The record is from RefSeq and is a predicted model, not a curated record. NCBI's taxonomy places the organism in Eukaryota, Metazoa, Chordata, Amphibia, Anura, Pelobatidae. The transcript has 7 exons.
AUACUUCCUUUUUAAUUUUCUUUUUUCUUGUAUAUAGGUCCAAAUCCUACCAAGAAACCAGCUCCAAAACCUAAGCCAGAAAAUCCUGGUACAGGUGGUGGAAGCUUUUCUGAUGCUGAUCUUCUAGGUGACAAUGAAUUACCAAAUGAGCCUCAACCAGGUGAAGAUGGUAACCCCAGUGGCCGUGCAUCCAAAGCAUCUGCUGGUGGAGAACAGCAGAAUGAUGAAGGGGCUAAACCAAAUGUAAUAGCCGGCAUACUGAGUGCAGUCGGCGUGGCUGCUUUUGGUGCUGUGACAAGUUUCAUUGCUUACCAGAAGAAAAAGCUUUGCUUUAAAGGAGCAAGUGAAGACCCAGAAAAUGUAAACAUGGAUAAUAAAGGAGACCAAGUAGAUCCACAAGCACAAAAUACCCUUCUCCCUAAAUAAUCCUGGCAACUACAAAGAAAAUCCUUGAUGGUAGUCUUUAAUUAAACCUGAAAAUUCACAAAGGAAGGCACAAGAAAAAUGUUAGCAAUGUUGUCAGAGUUAUUUUGUGGACUUCUCUGUAAAUGUGUCUUCUCCACUGUGUGGUGUAGAUCUGUAUACUGGAAACUACGUGGGACGUGCAUUGACAUAUGCAAGUUUAUUCACUAAGUGACAAGUGAGAAUAGCUGAGAAUGCAAACCGAUGUUCAAAUUUAAGGCCAAAUAGUUAAACUGGCAGCAGAAUUAAUUUUUUAUUUUUUUUUUGUCUAUUUUGACCUAAAUUUUGGAAUUUCCAGCAAUUCUCAUUUUAGUAAAUAGCCUGGCAAGGUGCACUUUUUUAAAAUUUUAUUUUUGUUGGAUUUUAGUCAGUUUUUUUGUUUUGUUAUAACAAGAAAUUAUCUGCCUUUGGCUCUGCAGCUGCUUUAACUAAAGCUAACACAAAGUUCCACCAGGAUACCUGUGGAAUAUCAUGAUACUUUUAGUCCCUUGCUGCUGGUGAAUCAGAGCUAGUCACUUUGUUUAAAAUGCUUGUAUUUGAUAAGAUUUUGUUUUGUUUUACUGAUGAAGUACCUUAAACACACCUAAUAGUUUUUGUCCAUCUUGUUGCCACAAUCCUCAAAUCCCCCAUAUGUACAAGAUCACCAAAAAAAUUCGAAACAUUGGCAUAUUAUCAUAUUAUACGUUUGAAUUCUUUAGAAGACCCUACAUGAUUUUUAUGGCUUUUAAACGGUUUCCUAACCUGUUGUUACUUUUUUAACUUUAUAUCUGUACACAUAGCUAUUUGUAUGUUUUUUUUUUUUAAUUUGCUGAAUGUUCUGAAAUCCUAGAUGCAUUGCUCAUUAAAAUACUUCUUUUGUAAAGAAUCAUCUGACACCAUGCCUCCAGUGGUGUACUAUGGAAAGUAGAGAAGGAUUCCAAUCAACAUCACACAUAUAAAUGUAACCGGGCAUCCAAUUUUUUUAAUUUUUUUUUUUACAUUUAAUAUUUCUGUAGCAUGUGAUUAUGUACUCUCAAAAGGUGUAACUGCGCCCGUACAAAUAUUGGAAAGUUUAAUUCAUGGAAAUUCAAAGUGACUUUCAAAUUUAAGACUAACCGUUUCAACAAUUACCACUUUAGUGAAAAGUCCUGAGUGAAUGUCAAAUACUUGGCAAACUAGACUUCCCAGAAACAGUCAUUCACUGAAUUGUGAAUUGAUUGGAAUUUAGUGAAUUUAAACUUUUAGGCCAACAUAGCUAAAGUGACAACCUAGCUGAAUGGAUUGGAUUUGUAAAAAUAAAAAUUUCAAUUGGUCUGUUCUACUAGACUAAAUUUUUGUAAAUUAAUUUUUAAUUCCUAGUUCACACUUUAUCGAAUUAACCAGAGUAAGCUGCUAGCAAUUUUAUUUUGUGGGGGAGGUUAGCUGUAGUUUGUUAGCAGAGGAUGCCCAUUCAUUAUGCUAAAUCUAUUAACAUGUACUAUUACCUCUGUUUUGUUGUCUUAUAUCCAUUCGUCUCCAAAUAUAAAACUUCUGGUUAGUCACAUACCUUUACAUGCCACGUCUUUGAAAUAAAAGGUGAAACUCUAA